UACGGAGGUCCCAAGCGUUGUUCGGAUUCACUGGGCGUAAAGGGUGCGUAGGAGGCUGGGAAAGUCGGGAUGUGAAAUCUCACCGCUUAACGGUGAAACUGCAUUCGAUACUACUCGGCUAGAGGAUCGGGAGGGGAGAGCAGAAUUCUUGGUGUAGCGGUGAAAUGCGUGAGAUAUCAAGUGGAACACCAGUGGCGAAGGCGGUGUCCU
This 210-nucleotide ribosomal RNA is filed under the name uncultured bacterium. Its description in RNAcentral is "partial 16S ribosomal RNA". It matches the Rfam family "Bacterial small subunit ribosomal RNA", at positions 524 to 730 of the family's 1533-position model. The record is from RNAcentral.